GUAAACAUAGCGUAGCUUCUCCUCCAUUCGUCUAAGCCAGGACUGGUGCGGCUCCCGUGGUAGUAGAAGUGGACCGGUCGAAAGCGAACGUCCAUACGCAGCGAACUCGGCCUGUAAAUCCCGUGUCAACUGAGCCUGCGAUUGGCACGAAGAGUAUUACAUAUAUAUGGCAAGUACGUAACAAACACAUGCAUUAUGUUAAGAGAAGAUACUUACCGCGUGCUGUCUAGAGCCUGAAGUAGACUGGCUAGGGUACAUAUCUUGCAAACUCGGCUCGGUUAUCUCCUGGGGGUGAGAGUGCUGAAUGAUGCUCAAUCAGGUAGCUGUCAUGUACCUCUGCAAAUAUCCGUUGAAUAGAUCGAGAUCAAAGGCCUCCAAUGGCCAAACCCGUGUCGUCGCAGUCUCCCACUCUGUGACGUACGACUGAACCCUCUGUAGCCAGUGAGUCUGGGUC
This 454-nucleotide long non-coding RNA is filed under the name Brachypodium distachyon (stiff brome). RNAcentral describes it as "long non-coding RNA (BDIS_LNC001851)". The record is from RNAcentral. Lineage: Eukaryota; Viridiplantae; Streptophyta; Magnoliopsida; Poales; Poaceae.